RNAcentral lists this ribosomal RNA (443 nucleotides) under uncultured bacterium. Its description in RNAcentral is "partial 16S ribosomal RNA". It matches the Rfam family "Bacterial small subunit ribosomal RNA", at positions 338 to 795 of the family's 1533-position model. The record is from RNAcentral.
CCUACGGGAGGCAGCAGUGGGGAAUAUUGGGCAAUGGAGGAAACUCUGACCCAGCAACGCCGCGUGAAGGAUGAAGGCUUUCGGGUUGUAAACUUCUUUUCUCAGGGACGAAGCAAGUGACGGUACCUUAGGAAUAAGCCUCGGCUAACUACGUGCCAGCAGCCGCGGUAAUACGUAGGAGGCGUGCGUUAUCCGGAUUUACUGGGCGUAAAGGGUGCGUAGGUGGUAUGGCAAGUCAGUUGUGAAACCCCUAGGCUCAACCUUGGGACUACAACUAAAACUGUUGUACUUGAGUGCAGGAGAGGCAGACGGAAUUCCUAGUGUAGCGGUGGAAUGCGUAGAUAUUAGGAGGAACACCAGUGGCGAAGGCGGGUUGCUAGACAGUAACUGACGCUGAGGCACGAAAGCGUGGGGAGCAAACAGGAUUAGAUACCCGAGUAGUC